CGGCUCGUUCGGGUAGGCCGACAGGUCCAGCCUGUUGACGACGGGCAUCUUGGCCAGCUGCGACGGUUCCACCGUCACCGGUCGG
This 85-nucleotide transfer RNA is filed under the name Mycobacterium kubicae. Its description in RNAcentral is "tRNA-Val". Lineage: Bacteria; Bacillati; Actinomycetota; Actinomycetes; Mycobacteriales; Mycobacteriaceae. The record is from RNAcentral.